UUCGUAGGCGGUGCGGUCAAGUCGGGAGUGAAAUCUUUGGGCUUAACCCAGAGGCUGCUUCCGAAACUGCUGUGCUCGAGUGUGGGAGAGGCGCGUGGAAUUGCAGGUGUAGCGGUGAAAUGCGUAGAUAUCUGCAGGAACACCCGUGGCGAAAGCGGCGCGCUGGACCACUACUGACGCUGAGGAACGAAAGCUAGGGGAGCAAACAGGAUUAGAUACCCUGGUAGUCCUAGCCCUAAACGAUCAGGACUUGGGGUGCCACCCGUUCGGGUGUCGUCCCGGAGCUAACGCGUUAAGUCCUGCACCUGGGGAGUACGGUCGCAAGACUGAA
Molecule: ribosomal RNA, 331 nt
Filed under: uncultured bacterium
Lineage: Bacteria
Description: bacterial SSU rRNA
Rfam family: Bacterial small subunit ribosomal RNA
Source: RNAcentral